Molecule: ribosomal RNA, 500 nt
Filed under: uncultured bacterium
Lineage: Bacteria
Description: partial 16S ribosomal RNA
Rfam family: Bacterial small subunit ribosomal RNA
Source: RNAcentral
AUUGAACGCUGGCGGAAUGCUUUACACACGCAAGUCGAACGGCAGCACGGAUUUCGGUCUGGUGGCGAGUGGCGAACGGGUGAGUAACAUAUCGGAACGUAUCCAAUAAUGGGGGAUAACGAGUCGAAAGAUUCGCUAAUACCGCAUACGCCCUACGGGGGAAAGCUGGGGACCUUCGGGCCUGGCGUUAAUGGAGCGGCCGAUAUCUGAUUAGCUAGUUGGUGAGGUAAAGGCUCACCAAGGCGACGAUCAGUAGCUGGUCUGAGAGGACGACCAGCCACACUGGAACUGAGACACGGUCCAGACUCCUACGGGAGGCAGCAGUGGGGAAUUUUGGACAAUGGGCGCAAGCCUGAUCCAGCCAUUCCGCGUGAGUGAAGAAGGCCUUCGGGUUGUAAAGCUCUUUCGCAAGGGAAGAAAACUUAGCCACUAACAUUGGUUGAGGUUGACGAUACCUUGAUAAGAAGCACCGGCUAACUACGUGCCAGCAGCCGCCGUAA